UUCGAGCUCCGGCUCGACUCUCCCACCCUUUGUGAACGUACCUCUGUUGCUUUGGCGGCUCCGGCCGCCAAAGGACCUUCAAACUCCAGUCAGUAAACGCAGACGUCUGAUAAACAAGUUAAUAAACUAAAACUUUCAACAACGGAUCUCUUGGUUCUGGCAUCGAUGAAGAACGCAGCGAAAUGCGAUAAGUAAUGUGAAUUGCAGAAUUCAGUGAAUCAUCGAAUCUUUGAACGCACAUUGCGCCCCUUGGUAUUCCGGGGGGCAUGCCUGUUCGAGCGUCAUUACAACCCUCAAGCUCUGCUUGGAAUUGGGCACCGUCCUCACUGCGGACGCGCCUCAAAGACCUCGGCGGUGGCUGUUCAGCCCUCAAGCGUAGUAGAAUACACCUCGCUUUGGAGCGGUUGGCGUCGCCCGCCGGACGAACCUUCUGAACUUUUCUCAAGGUUGACCUCGGAUCAGGUAGGGAUACCCCGCUGAACUUAAGCAUAUCAAUAAGCGGAGGAA
Molecule: ribosomal RNA, 507 nt
Filed under: Lasiodiplodia theobromae
Lineage: Eukaryota; Fungi; Ascomycota; Dothideomycetes; Botryosphaeriales; Botryosphaeriaceae
Description: eukaryotic LSU rRNA
Rfam family: 5.8S ribosomal RNA (bases 131-284)
Source: RNAcentral